Molecule: long non-coding RNA, 514 nt
Filed under: Homo sapiens (human)
Lineage: Eukaryota; Metazoa; Chordata; Mammalia; Primates; Hominidae
Description: non-protein coding POU6F2-AS2:2
Source: RNAcentral
GGAGGAGCCAAGAUGGCCGCAUAGGAACAGCUCCAGUCCACAGCUCCCAGCGUGAGCGACGCAGAAGACGGGUGAUUUCUGCAUUUCCAUCUGAGCAGGCUUUUCUUCUUGGAGCUGAAACAGGCGCACUGGCGAGGGUUGUGAGGAAAGGUUUGCAGCCCCCUGCCUUGGUCUGCUAUAGCCAGUGACACGAUCAAUACCAGGGUGAGCAGCAGAGGAAGCUCAGGGAAGAUUAUGAAGAUGAGGUCUUCUUUGAUAACAUGUCAAGGAGUUACAUUUGACAUAGCCCUGUUAUUUUUACCACAGGAAUUUGCCUGAGUUCUGAUCAAUGCUAAAAACACCAUUUAACAGUGCCCUUUCCUGCCUGGGAAGCCCACAAAGAUUUCGCUUUUCACUUAUUACUCAUCAAACUGACUCUGGUUCACAGUGGAAAAGAGAAGAAAAGCUGAUGGAGAAAUGGCAGUGAAGAAGGAGAACAAAAUGUCAGAGCAAUACUUUUGAGCGACUAUAUCCU